UGUAAGGUUAUACAGAGAGGCAUAUCGCAUCAUGCAUGGGCCCUUUCAUACUGGAUGAGAGCAGGUGCUCCGUUUUUCCCUGAAGUCCAGCUUGCUCUCCAGAAGGAUUCUACCACCCACUUCCGCCCUGGGGACAAUUUACAGAGAGCCGAUUAACCCACCGACCCGCACGUCUUUGGGAUGUAGAAGGAAACCGAAGUACCUGGAGAAAAGCCACGCAGUCACCGGAAGAACCUGCAAACUCCACACAGACAGCACCUGAGAUCAGGAUUGAACCCGGGUCUCUGGCGCUGUGAAGUAGUGUAACUGCCAGCGGUGCUGCCUUGUAAAGCUUCCUCAUUCCUGAUUGCAUUUGUGAAAGAGGCUUUAUGAUGGGAUUUCUUAGCUCAACUUCAAUUUAUGUUAUAGAAAGUGAUAAUAAACCUCUAUCAUGA
This is a long non-coding RNA of Amblyraja radiata (thorny skate), 434 nucleotides long. RefSeq lists it as uncharacterized. The record is from RefSeq and is a predicted model, not a curated record. NCBI's taxonomy places the organism in Eukaryota, Metazoa, Chordata, Chondrichthyes, Rajiformes, Rajidae. The transcript is spliced from 2 exons.